This 391-nucleotide ribosomal RNA is filed under the name uncultured bacterium. Its description in RNAcentral is "partial 16S ribosomal RNA". It matches the Rfam family "Bacterial small subunit ribosomal RNA", at positions 523 to 918 of the family's 1533-position model. The record is from RNAcentral.
AUACGUAGGGGACGAGCGUUGUCCGGAAUGAUUGGGCGUAAAGGGCGCGUAGGCGGCCUGGUAAGUCUGAAGUGAAAGUCCCGCUUUCAAGGUGGGAAUUGCUUUGGAUACUGCUGGGCUUGAGUGCAGGAGAGGAAAGCGGAAUUCCCGGUGUAGCGGUGAAAUGCGUAGAGAUCGGGAGGAACACCAGUGGCGAAGGCGGCUUUCUGGACUGUAACUGACGCUGAGGCGCGAAAGCGUGGGGAGCAAACAGGAUUAGAUACCCUGGUAGUCCACGCCGUAAACGAUGAGCACUAAGUGUCGGAUGAAUUUUCGGCGCUGCAGUUAACGCAAUAAGUGCUCCGCCUGGGGAGUACGGUCGCAAGACUGAAACUUAAAUGAAUUGGCGGGG